UACGAAGGGGGCUAGCGUUGUUCGGAAUUACUGGGCGUAAAGCGCGCGCAGGCGGUUUUCCAAGUCAGUGGUGAAAGCCCGGAGCUCAACUCCGGAACUGCCAUUGAAACUGGCGAACUUGAGUACGAGAGAGGUGAGUGGAAUUCCCAGUGUAGAGGUGAAAUUCGUAGAUAUUGGGAAGAACACCGGUGGCGAAGGCGGCUCACUGGCUCGUAACUGACGCUCAGGCGCGACAGCGUGGGGAGCAAACAGG
This 253-nucleotide ribosomal RNA is filed under the name uncultured bacterium. RNAcentral describes it as "partial 16S ribosomal RNA". It matches the Rfam family "Bacterial small subunit ribosomal RNA", at positions 524 to 776 of the family's 1533-position model. The record is from RNAcentral.